UUGAACGCUGGCGGAAUGCUUUACACAUGCAAGUCGAGCGGCAGCGCGGGGCAACCUGGCGGCGAGCGGCGAACGGGUGAGUAACACAUCGGAACGUACCCAAUUGUGGGGGAUAACGAAUCGAAAGAUUCGCUAAUACCGCAUAAGACCUGAGGGUGAAAGCGGGGGAUCGCAAGACCUCGCGCGACUGGAGCGGCCGAUGUCGGAUUAGCUAGUUGGUGGGGUAAAGGCUCACCAAGGCGACGAUCCGUAGCGGGUCUGAGAGGACGGCCCGCCACACUGGAACUGAGACACGGUCCAGACUCCUACGGGAGGCAGCAGUGGGGAAUUUUGGACAAUGGGGGCAACCCUGAUCCAGCCAUUCCGCGUGAGUGAAGAAGGCCUUCGGGUUGUAAAGCUCUUUCUGCAGGAACGAAACGGUCCUAGUUAAUACCUGGGGCUAAUGACGGUACCUGAAGAAGAAGCACCGGCUAACUACGU
RNAcentral lists this ribosomal RNA (480 nucleotides) under uncultured bacterium. RNAcentral describes it as "bacterial SSU rRNA". It matches the Rfam family "Bacterial small subunit ribosomal RNA", at positions 29 to 506 of the family's 1533-position model. The record is from RNAcentral.